RNAcentral lists this long non-coding RNA (285 nucleotides) under Elaeis guineensis (African oil palm). RNAcentral describes it as "long non-coding RNA (EGUI_LNC016964)". The record is from RNAcentral. Lineage: Eukaryota; Viridiplantae; Streptophyta; Magnoliopsida; Arecales; Arecaceae.
GGGCUCGGGCUUGGGCUGGCUUGAUUGGCUGGGGCCAAGCUUGGGCUUGGACUCGGAUUGAGCUUUGAUCUUAAGUUUUCAAAUAUUUUUGGACCUUAGCUCAGUCCAAAAAAAUAUUUCAGAUUGAGUUCGGGUAUGGCUGUAGUCCGAUCUAGUCCGGCCUGUUUCUAGCUCUAUAAUAAUAUGAUUUGGAAAGAAAUUAAAAAUUUAUUUGGAUUUAGGAUGAAUAAAUUUAUUUUUUUGGAUUGGGCUUGGGUACGGAUGUGGUCCGACCCAGUCUGGCCC